GAUGAACGCUGGCGGCGUGCCUAUUACAUGCAAGUCGAGCGAACGGACGAGAAGCUUGCUUUUCUGAUGUUAGCGGCGGACGGGUGAGUAACACGUGGAUAACCUACCUAUAAGACUGGGAUAACUUCGGGAAACCGGAGCUAAUACCGGAUAAUAUUUUGAACCGCAUGGUUCAAAAGUGAAAGACGGUCUUGCUGUCACUUAUAGAUGGAUCCGCGCUGCAUUAGCUAGUUGGUAAGGUAACGGCUUACCAAGGCAACGAUGCAUAGCCGACCUGAGAGGGUGAUCGGCCACACUGGAACUGAGACACGGUCCAGACUCCUACGGGAGGCAGCAGUAGGGAAUCUUCCGCAAUGGGCGAAAGCCUGACGGAGCAACGCCGCGUGAGUGAUGAAGGUCUUCGGAUCGUAAAACUCUGUUAUUAGGGAAGAACAUAUGUGUAAGUAACUGUACACAUCUUGACGGUACCUAAUCAGAAAGCCACGGCUAACUACGUG
Molecule: ribosomal RNA, 497 nt
Filed under: uncultured bacterium
Lineage: Bacteria
Description: partial 16S ribosomal RNA
Rfam family: Bacterial small subunit ribosomal RNA
Source: RNAcentral